AAUGUGAGCAAGAAAGUUGAGAGAAAACUUGAGAGGAAAAAGUAAAUCGCCGGAGUCCUCGUCGGAAAAUCACUAACGAAAUUCAUCCUCUACCGAGACUAACACUCUAGAGCUUCUUCUUGGAGAGAAGAAAGACUCGUGUUGUUGAGGUUCCAUCUUCCGUCAAGAUCCGAGAGAAAUCCGCAAGGGAAGAUCCACCACUGAUUUUGUGAGGAAAUCGGACGAAAUGUUGAGAUUUGAGAAUCUUUCCAAGAACGGAGGAGAGAGAAGACGACAACGUGCCAUGUGUCAACCAGCGAAAGGUCUCUCGUGCGCUGAUAGCCACCGGACACUCGUUGAAUGCCUUCUGGAGCGACGCAGUUCUAGUCUUCCAGCGACACGCGUCCACAGCGGCGACACUCAGCCCGCGUCCCUCAACCAAUCCAACACUCGCUCGAUGAGACGAACCGCUACGACCUGCAGUCCACCCAAACCGAACCGACGACCCGCGGCUGCAGAAUAACGUGUGCGCGUGGAACCUGUGAGUGAGUUUGUCCAUGCUCAUGGCAGGCGCGUGGAAGCAUGUGUAAGCCCGUUUUCGUCCUGUUCAGGUCCUGUUUUCCCUAUUUUCCACUCGAAUCCAAUCCUAACUCUACUUUAUAUGAAAUAGAAUCCUAUUGAGGAAAAAUCAGUACCUUUUGAUAUGCUAAUUGUGUGGAAACGCAACGUAAGGGCACGCAUCAUCCAAGUAAGUCACCACACGGAUCUUUAGGAAGAAAUACUUGUAGGAGUCGCUUGGAUAUGCAUGCAUGCUAGUUUAAUUACCUUAGGUAGUACUUUUCCAUGUUUGAUUGUAGGUAAUUUGUUUGUUAAAAUUAUGGAUGUUUUAUGAGAAGU
Molecule: long non-coding RNA, 876 nt
Organism: Cucurbita moschata (crookneck pumpkin)
Lineage: Eukaryota; Viridiplantae; Streptophyta; Magnoliopsida; Cucurbitales; Cucurbitaceae
Exons: 3
Source: RefSeq, a predicted model, not a curated record